UGUCUUGGCUAAUGUGUCUUGGCUAAUGUGUCUUGGCUAAGGUGUCUUGGCUAAGGUGUCUUGGCUAAGGUGUCUUGGCUUAUGUGUCUUGGCUAAGGUGUCUUGGCUAAUGUGUCUUGGCUAAGGUGUCUUGGCUAAUGUGUCUUGGCUAAUGUGUCUUGGCUAAGGUGUCUUCGCUAAUGUGUCUUGGCUAAGGUGUCUUGGCUAAUGUGUCUUGGCUAAUGUGUCUUGGCUAAGGUGUCUUGGCUAAGGUGUCUUGGCUAAGGUGUCUCGACUAAUGUGUCUUGGCUAAGGUGUCUUGGCUAAUGUGUCUUGGCUAAGGUGUCUUGGCUAAGGUGUCUUGGCUAAGGUGUCUUGGCUAAUGUGUCUUGGCUAAUGUGUCUUGGCUAAUGUGUCUUGGCUAAGGUGUCUUCGCUAAUGUGUCUUGGCUAAGGUGUCUUGGCUAAUGUGUCUUGGCUAAUGUGUCUUGGCUAAUGUGUCUUAACUAAGGUGUCUUCGCUAAUGUGUCUUGGCUAAGGUGUCUUGGCUAAGGUGUCUUGGCUAAGGUGUCUUGGCUAAUGUGUCUUGGCUAAGGUGUCUUCGCUAAGGUGUCUUGGUUAAGGUGUCUUGGCUAAUGUGUCUUGGCUAAUGUGUCUUGGCUAAGGUGUCUUGGCCUAGAUGUCUUGGCUAAUGUGUCUUGGCUAAGGUGUCUUGGCUAAGGUGUCUUGGCUAAUGUGUCUUGGCUAAUGUGUCUUGGCUAAUGUAACUUGGCUAAGGUGUCUUGGCUAAGGUGUCUUGGCUAAGGUGUCUUGGCUAAUGUGUCUUGGCUAAUGUGUCUUGGCUAAGGUGUCUUGGCUAAUGUGUCUUGGCUAAGGUGUCUUGGCUAAGGUGUCUUGGCUAAGGUGUCUUGGCUAAUGUGUCUUGGCUAAGGUGUCUUGGCUAAUGUGUCUUGGCUAAUGUGUCUUGGCUAAUGUGUCUUGGCUAAGGUGUCUUGGCAAAUGUGUCUUGGCUAAUGUGUCUUGGCUAAGGUGUCUUGGCUAAUGUGUCUUGGCUAAUGUGUCUUUACUAAUGUGUCUUGGCUAAUGUGUCUUGGCUAAUGUGUCUCGGCUAAUGUGUCUUGGCUAAUGUGUCUUGGCUAAUGUAUCUUGGCUAAUGUGUCUUGGCUAAUGUGUCUUGGCUAAUGUGUCUUGGCUAAUGUGUCUUGGCUAAUGUGUCUUGGCUUAGGUGUCUUGGCUAAUGUGUCUUGGCUAAGGUGUCUUCGCUAAUGUGUCUUGGCUAAGGUGUCUUGGCUAAUGUGUCUUGGCUAAUGUGUCUUGGCUAAUGUGUCUUGGCUAAUGUGUCUUGGCUAAGGUGUCUUCGCUAAUGUGUCUUGGCUAAGGUGUCUUGGCUAAUGUGUCUUGGCUAAGGUGUCUUGGCUAAUGUGUCUUGGCUAAGGUGUCUUGGCUAAGGUGUCUUGGCUAAGGUGUCUUGGCUAAGGUGUCUUGGCUAAUGUGUCUUGGCUAAUGUGUCUUGGCUAAUUUGUCUUGGCUAAGGUGUCUUGGCUAAGGUGUCUUGGCUAAUGUGUCUUGGCUAAUGUUUCUUGGCUAAUGUGUCUUGGCUAAGGUGUCUUCGCUAAUGUGUCUUGGCUAAGGUGUCUUGGCUAAGGUGUCUUGGCUAAUGUGUCUCGGCUAAUGUGUCUUGGCUAAUGUGUCUUGGCUAAUGUGUCUUGGCUAAGGUGUCUUGGCUAAGGUGUCUUGGCUAAUGUGUCUUGGCUAAUGUGUCUCGGCUAAUGUGUCUUGGCUAAAGUGUCUUGGCUAAUGUGUCUUGGCUAAUGUGUCUUCGCUAAUGUGUCUUGGCUAAGGUGUCUUGGCUAAGGUGUCUUGGCUAAUGUGUCUCGGCUAAUGUGUCUUGGCUAAUGUGUCUUGGCUAAUGUGUCUUGGCUAAUGUGUCUUGGCUAAGGUGUCUUGGCUAAUGUGUCUUGGCUAAUGUGUCUUGGCUAAUGUGUCUUGGCUAAAGAGUCUUGGCUAAGGUGUCUUGGCUAAGGUGUCUUGGCUAAGGUGUCUUGGCUAAGGUGUCUUGGCUAAUGUGUCUUGGCUAAUGUGUCUUGGCUAAUGUGUCUUGGCUAAGGUGUCUUGGCUAAGGUGUCUUGGCUAAGGUGUCUUGGCUAAUGUGUCUUGGCUAAUGUUUCUUGGCUAAUGUGUCUUGGCUAAGGUGUCUUCGCUAAUGUGUCUUGGCUAAGGUGUCUUGGCCAAGGUGUCUUGGCUAAUGUGUCUCGGCUAAUGUGUCUUGGCUAAUGUGUCUUGGCUAAUGUGUCUUGGCUAAUGUGUCUUGGCUAAGGUGUCUUGGCUAAUGUGUCUUGGCUAAUGUGUCUUGGCUAAUGUGUCUUGGCUAAAGUGUCUUGGCUAAGGUGUCUUGGCUAAGGUGUCUUGGCUAAGGUGUCUUGGCUAAGGUGUCUUGGCUAAUGUGUCUUGGCUAAUGUGUCUUGGCUAAUGUGUCUUGGCUAAGGUGUCUUCGCUAAUGUGUCUUGGCUAAUGUGUCUUGGCUAAGGUGUCUUGGCUAAUGUGUCUUGGUUAAUGUGUCUUGGCUAAGGUGUCUUGGCUAAUGUGUCUUGG
This is a long non-coding RNA of Anopheles funestus (African malaria mosquito), 2570 nucleotides long. RefSeq lists it as uncharacterized. The transcript has 4 exons. Lineage: Eukaryota; Metazoa; Arthropoda; Insecta; Diptera; Culicidae. The record is from RefSeq and is a predicted model, not a curated record.